GUCAAAAAGGAAAUUAUAGAAGGAAGGGGGACAAGGAAAAAAGCAGUAUGUAUUUACACCAAUAGCCUAAUUUCACUGAAAAUUAAAUAUUUUCCAUUAUUUAAGAUAGUGAAAAGUUCCCCAUAUUAAAAAUAGCACGACUUCAGGGGUUAUUGCAUCCAUUCAAAUCUCUAAAAUCAAAUGGAACAAUAUGCAAAUUUAAGAAGCUGAUAAUUGAAAUGCUUCUACUGAAUUUAGUAUGAUGAAUUUGUGCCAUAUCUAUUAAGAGUAAAA
This 273-nucleotide unclassified non-coding RNA is filed under the name Hevea brasiliensis (rubber tree). The record is from RNAcentral. Lineage: Eukaryota; Viridiplantae; Streptophyta; Magnoliopsida; Malpighiales; Euphorbiaceae.